Molecule: ribosomal RNA, 429 nt
Filed under: Bacteroidota bacterium
Lineage: Bacteria; Pseudomonadati; Bacteroidota
Description: Bacteroidetes bacterium partial 16S ribosomal RNA
Rfam family: Bacterial small subunit ribosomal RNA
Source: RNAcentral
UAGGGAAUCUUCCGCAAUGGACGCAAGUCUGACGGAGCAACGCCGCGUGAGUGAAGAAGGAUUUCGGUUCGUAAAACUCUGUUGUUAGAGAAGAACAGCGCAUAGAGUAACUGUUAUGCGUGUGACGGUAUCUAACCAGAAAGCCACGGCUAACUACGUGCCAGCAGCCGCGGUAAUACGUAGGUGGCAAGCGUUGUCCGGAUUUAUUGGGCGUAAAGCGAGCGCAGGCGGUCAAUUAAGUCUGAUGUGAAAGCCCCCGGCUCAACCGGGGGGGGUCAUUGGAAACUGGUUGACUUGAGUGCAGAAGAGGAGAGUGGAAUUCCCUGUGUAGCGGUGAAAUGCGUAGAUAUAUGGAGGAACACCAGUGGCGAAGGCGACUCUCUGGUCUGUAACUGACGCUGAGGCUCGAAAGCGUGGGUAGCAAACAGG